GCUAUUUUAAACUUAUUUUAAAGGCUUAGGAUAAUUAGACCAAGGGCCUUCAAAGCCUUAAGCAGAAGUUAUAAGAGGUACUGCCUGCCCAGUGACACCUGUUCAACGGCCGCGGUAUUAUGACCGUGCAAAGGUAGCGUAAUCACUUGUCUUUUAAAUAAAGACCAGUAUGAAUGGCGAAACGAGAGCCAAACUGUCUCUCCCAACUAGUCAGUGAAAUUGAUCUUCCCGUGCAGAAGCGGGGAUAUUAUUACAAGACGAGAAGACCCUAUGGAGCUUUAAGCUAUAAUUAUGCAAACACUACAAGGGACCCUUAGUAAAGCUUUAGGUUGGGGCGACCGCGGAGAAAAAUAAAACCUCCGAGAUGAUUAGCCAAGAAAAACACAUCAAAGCAACAAAAACCUUGACACACUGACCCAAUAUUUGACCAACGAACCAAGUUACCCUAGGGAUAACAGCGCAAUCUUCUCAUAGAGUCCUUAUCGACGAGAAGGUUUACGACCUCGAUGUUGGAUCAGGGCCCCCAAAUGGUGCAGCAGCUAUUAAAGGUUCGUUUGUUCAACGAUUAAAGCCCUACGUGAU
Molecule: ribosomal RNA, 582 nt
Filed under: Eurycea longicauda (long-tailed salamander)
Lineage: Eukaryota; Metazoa; Chordata; Amphibia; Caudata; Plethodontidae
Description: partial 16S ribosomal RNA
Rfam family: Bacterial large subunit ribosomal RNA
Source: RNAcentral